Molecule: long non-coding RNA, 667 nt
Organism: Talpa occidentalis (Iberian mole)
Lineage: Eukaryota; Metazoa; Chordata; Mammalia; Eulipotyphla; Talpidae
Exons: 4
Source: RefSeq, a predicted model, not a curated record
UCAUAACCCACAAAGCAUCCUAAGUAGGACUCAUAGCCAAUUUCUCAGCAGAAACCAUGUUGGCACUGGGGUGACAUAUUCUAACUGCCAAAGGACUAAAAUCUAUUAUCCAAGAAUUCAAAAUAUGGCAAAACUUACUUUCAAGGAUGAAAGAGAAAUGAAAUCAUUUCCAGGUAAACAAAAGAUGGAGAUUUUAAUAGUUGGCUUGUCCUGUAAGAAAUGCUAAAGGAAAUUCUUAAGGCUUCAAUAAAUGGACACAAGACAGUUACUUGAAGUCAUAUGAAGAAAUAGAGAAUGCAGCUGAAGAUAAUUACACAGGUUCUCUCUGGCUGCAGGGACGUGAGGUGCUGAGAAGACAUACCCUGGAGGAGCUCAGAGUUCAGAGGCGACUCACUUUUAUCCUCCAAAAUGGUGGUUCACCCCAUUUGUGGGGGAGAUGUCAUCAUCAUUACCUCCUUCUUAUUUGUAACGAAACACUUCAGUGCCUGGCAGAGGGCUCGUCCUCACCCAGUACUUGCAGCCUUCUAGUAACUUGGUCCAGAGAGUUCCUAGAACAACCACUUACCUGGAGAUUUCAGACACGGAAGCUCCAGCAGGUGGUGAAGGUGGGAAAGCAUCGGUCCCGGCCCCCGAAGUCUGCCGCUUGGCGCACAUUGUGGGAUGUCAG